AAAUCUUGAAAAAAACAUAUAGAGAAGAAAGAGUUAGGAAGAAAAUUUUAGAAAAGUAUAGGUUCUGGAGGGUUUUCGGAAGAAUAAAUUUUGAGCAAGAGAUUGAGUCUGAAAUAGAGGUAAGGGGAGCUAAUCUUUUAAAGUUUUUAUGUUAUAAAAUAUUUUUUUUAUAACUAUUUAUGUCUUGAAAUUUUGUGCAAUUACUGUUAAUGAAAAACCUAUGUACUUGUUAUAUAACUAUUUGAAUUUCUGCGUUAAUAUUAUAUGCUGUUAUUUUGAAUCUGUAAAUAAGAAAAUUGUUAAUAACAAGUUGAGGAACACUUUGGCUAAGGAAAGACCUGGUACUUAAGUUGUCCAUUGUGACACACCUUUCUUUCUUGGAAGUCUACUCGAUGUGUUUUUAGCUAAUUCUUAUCAAACAGAUUAUAUUUUGCUGAUUUUAUUUUUGUAAAAUGCUCAAUAUAUAUGAAAUUUGUGUUGAAUGUAUUAUAUUAUGUUGGAUGUGAAAUUUAUGUAUUUAAACAUAAUAAGAGUUUGGUGGAGAGUGGGAAAUCCUUACCGAAGAUCCAUCUUGAGAAGAUUGACACAGUAGGAAGGAUGUAGCUUCAGUGGUUGUAUUUAUAUCCGAAGAUCCAGUUUAAGGGACAGAGUAGGAUAAGAUAAUUGAGCUAGCAAGUAGGUGCAUCCAUAUCCGAAGAUCCACUUUGGGGGACAGAGUAGGAUAAGAUAAUUGAGCUAGCAAGUAGGUGCAUCCAUAUCCGAAGAUCCACUUUGGGGGACAGAGUAGGAUAUGAUGUAUCUGAGUAAAGUACCACUGCAAGCGUAGAACCUGUUUAGAGUUCAAUAUUCAUACGAUUAUUUGAAUGGGUUGAGUUUAUAAUGAUCAUGGUGUGUUUAUUGUACUAUUAAGUGAUUUGACUUAUCAGUUAUAAAUUAUGUUAUUAAUUUAAAUAUAUCAUGUUAUUUUGUUGCAAUAGCUCACCCUUGCUUUAUCUAUUGUUUGGUGGUUACUUUUGUGUUGUGUGUUUUCUCUCGGCGAUGAUCAUCUGGUGGGUGUGAGCAGAAAGUGGUGAGACGCCGGUGGAACAGGCAUUAGAUGGAGAAUCGACUAGUGUUUAACUCUUAUGGAUGAAAUCCUUGUUUUAAUCGUUUAAGUUUGGUUUGUAUUAAGUUUAAAAAUUUGAGUGAUGGUUUGUAUAUUGAGGAAAACUUUUAUUCCUCAUUUCUAUGACUGUUCUAUCAUAUAAAGAAUGUAAUAACUAUAUUAUAGUUUAAUACUACAAUUUUUG
Molecule: long non-coding RNA, 1289 nt
Filed under: Vigna radiata
Lineage: Eukaryota; Viridiplantae; Streptophyta; Magnoliopsida; Fabales; Fabaceae
Description: long non-coding RNA (VRAD_LNC011755)
Source: RNAcentral